UGCGGGAUGGUGUAAGGGUAGCACAAAUGACUCUGACUCAUUGUGUGAGGGUUCGAAUCCUUCUCCCGCAGCCA
Molecule: transfer RNA, 74 nt
Filed under: Clostridiaceae bacterium
Lineage: Bacteria; Bacillati; Bacillota; Clostridia; Eubacteriales; Clostridiaceae
Description: tRNA-Gln
Rfam family: tRNA
About the family: Transfer RNA (tRNA) molecules are approximately 80 nucleotides in length.
Source: RNAcentral